UGAUGACGAUCAUAACUGAUGAUAAUGAUGAUAAUUGAUGAUAACGACGAUGAUCAUCAUCACACUUAUCAUAACUUUUCUUCA
Non-coding RNA from Brugia malayi, 84 nucleotides. NCBI's taxonomy places the organism in Eukaryota, Metazoa, Nematoda, Chromadorea, Rhabditida, Onchocercidae. The record is from RefSeq and is a predicted model, not a curated record.